Molecule: non-coding RNA, 106 nt
Organism: Gossypium arboreum
Lineage: Eukaryota; Viridiplantae; Streptophyta; Magnoliopsida; Malvales; Malvaceae
Source: Rfam
AAUUCAUGGUGUGGACAUUAUUAAAUUAGCAUUUUGAAAUGUUCCCAUGCCUCACAGAAACUUUCUCCCUCUAUUUGUCUAAAGACAGCGAUCUCUCUUCUUAGUU